GACGAACGCUGGCGGCGUGCUUAACACAUGCAAGUCGAACGGUGAAGCGCCUUCCUUUUUGGUGGGUGUGGAUGAGUGGCGAACGGGUGAGUAACACGUGAGUAACCUGCCCCCUUCUUCUGGAUAACCGCAUGAAAGUGUGGCUAAUACGGGAUAUUCUGGGUCUGUCGCAUGAUGGGUCUGGGAAAGAUAUUGUUUCGGUGGGGGAUGGGCUCGCGGCCUAUCAGCUUGUUGGUGGGGUGAUGGCCUACCAAGGCGGUGACGGGUAGCCGGCCUGAGAGGGUGGACGGUCACACUGGGAAUGAGACACGGCCCAGACUCCUACGGGAGGCAGCAGUGGGGAAUAUUGCACAAUGGGAGCAAGCCUGAUGCAGCGACGCCGCGUGAGGGAUGGAGGCCGUCGGGUUGUGAACCUCUUUCGCCAGUGAAGCAGGCCUGCCUCGUUUGUGGGUGGGUUGACGGUAGCUGGAUAAGAAGCGCCGGCUAACUACGUG
RNAcentral lists this ribosomal RNA (494 nucleotides) under uncultured bacterium. RNAcentral describes it as "partial 16S ribosomal RNA". It matches the Rfam family "Bacterial small subunit ribosomal RNA", at positions 28 to 507 of the family's 1533-position model. The record is from RNAcentral.